This 253-nucleotide ribosomal RNA is filed under the name uncultured bacterium. RNAcentral describes it as "partial 16S ribosomal RNA". It matches the Rfam family "Bacterial small subunit ribosomal RNA", at positions 524 to 776 of the family's 1533-position model. The record is from RNAcentral.
UACAGAGGUCUCAAGCGUUGUUCGGAUUCAUUGGGCGUAAAGCGCGUGUAGGCUGCUUGGAAAGUCGGAUGUGAAAGCCCUGGGCUUAACCCAGGAAGUGCAUUCGAAACUUCCAAGCUCGAGUCCUGGAGAGGGUGGCGGAAUUCUCGGUGUAGAGGUGAAAUUCGUAGAUAUCGGGAGGAACACCAGUGGCGAAGGCGGAGACCUGGGGAGAUAUUGACGCUGAGGUGCGAAAGCGUGGGGAGCAAACAGG